RNAcentral lists this transfer RNA (89 nucleotides) under Halocella sp. SP3-1. Its description in RNAcentral is "tRNA-Leu". It matches the Rfam family "tRNA". Rfam says of the family: Transfer RNA (tRNA) molecules are approximately 80 nucleotides in length. Their secondary structure includes four short double-helical elements and three loops (D, anti-codon, and T loops). Lineage: Bacteria; Bacillati; Bacillota; Clostridia; Halanaerobiales; Halanaerobiaceae. The record is from RNAcentral. RNAcentral also lists the same sequence under 1 other name.
GCCGAAGUGGUGGAAUUGGCAGACGCGCUGGAUUCAAAAUCCAGUGGGCUUUAUCGCCCGUGUGGGUUCGACCCCCACCUUCGGCACCA